Long non-coding RNA from Eptesicus fuscus (big brown bat), 453 nucleotides. RefSeq lists it as uncharacterized. The transcript is spliced from 2 exons. The record is from RefSeq and is a predicted model, not a curated record. NCBI's taxonomy places the organism in Eukaryota, Metazoa, Chordata, Mammalia, Chiroptera, Vespertilionidae.
AGACGGGAGCCAUGGGGGACACCCCCCCCAUAGUUCCUCCUUAGUCUCCUGUCCUGGGCUCUGACCCCGUCCUGGUGUGUCCCCCCCAGGCAGUGACAGCGCCCAGGGCUCUGAUGUGUCUCUCUCGGCUUCUAAAGCGUGAGGAGCUGCCCUGUGGGGACUGAGUGAUGGAAGGUGUGUCCACGCUCCCACUUCCUGACUCAGGAACCUCUGAUGGGGGUGCACACCUGGCCCUGCUCCCCACACUUUCCUGUCAGCAGAGGCAGCUGGGCCCUCCCCCUCCCCUCCCUGCCUUUCCUCCCUGGGGGCUCUGAGUGACAACUUCCUGCUCCGUAUUGAAAUGAGGCUGUGCAUUGACCUGGUUCUUCAAUUCUUCCCGUGCCUGGUGACGGUCAUUAAAGGAGACCCUGUAAUUAAAUGUCUUCUGAGAGGAAAUAAACGGAAGCUCCAAGA